Folsomia candida is the source of this 590-nucleotide long non-coding RNA. RefSeq lists it as uncharacterized. The record is from RefSeq and is a predicted model, not a curated record. The transcript is spliced from 3 exons. NCBI's taxonomy places the organism in Eukaryota, Metazoa, Arthropoda, Collembola, Entomobryomorpha, Isotomidae.
AACUUGUUUUUCAAAAUUUCUAACGAUGAUAUUCUUCUUUUAUAAGAUGUCAAAUGAGGUACUGAUGCGUCUCCUUGGGCGGAAAGGACAAAACGAAUGAAACGUGCCGAACAGAUGUGCAAAUUUGAUGCUGGGCGGAUACAAACUUCGUUCAGAGAUCUGAGCAGAGUCGGAUUUGAUAUGAGGGCUCGAGCGAAAGAAGUGUCGUCUAGGCGUUCAGACCGCCCAUCGUGCGUUCUGCAUGAAAAAAAUGAAAAAUGUACUGGUAGAGACGGUCGCACUGCAAGACGGAGAGAUUUAACCGUUCAAUCGUUCCAUUCGACCAGUAGAGCUUGUUUUCACAGAAGUAGCAGCCAUACGCGUAGCGAAAGCUGCCAAUCAUGUCCACAGCGUCAAGAAUGAUUCGCUUCGGUUCGAAGAUAUCGAGCAAAUUUAACAUCCGGUCAGCUCCAAAGAAUUUUUCGACAGCUUUGCGUACAAGGGCAAACUAGAUAAUACGACAGAUGUAGGUAAAAACGUGUACACAAUUUUCGCGGGUAGGCAAAAUACGGUAUUUUGAGCCCCAGGGUUUAGAUUUCCUGGGCUGUUAC